This 88-nucleotide transfer RNA is filed under the name Formosimonas limnophila. Its description in RNAcentral is "tRNA-Leu". It matches the Rfam family "tRNA". From Rfam's summary of the family: Transfer RNA (tRNA) molecules are approximately 80 nucleotides in length. Their secondary structure includes four short double-helical elements and three loops (D, anti-codon, and T loops). RNAcentral also lists the same sequence under 2 other names. Lineage: Bacteria; Pseudomonadati; Pseudomonadota; Betaproteobacteria; Burkholderiales; Burkholderiaceae. The record is from RNAcentral.
GCGAGGGUGGCGAAAUUGGUAGACGCACCAGGUUUAGGUCCUGGCGCCCUAAACAGGUGUAGGGGUUCGAGUCCCCUCCUUCGCACCA